Molecule: ribosomal RNA, 497 nt
Filed under: uncultured bacterium
Lineage: Bacteria
Description: partial 16S ribosomal RNA
Rfam family: Bacterial small subunit ribosomal RNA
Source: RNAcentral
GAUGAACGCUGGCGGCGUGCCUAAUACAUGCAAGUCGAGCGAACAGAUAAGGAGCUUGCUCCUUUGACGUUAGCGGCGGACGGGUGAGUAACACGUGGGUAACCUACCUAUAAGACUGGAAUAACUCCGGGAAACCGGGGCUAAUGCCGGAUAACAUUUAGAACCGCAUGGUUCUAAAGUGAAAGAUGGUUUUGCUAUCACUUAUAGAUGGACCCGCGCCGUAUUAGCUAGUUGGUAAGGUAACGGCUUACCAAGGCAACGAUACGUAGCCGACCUGAGAGGGUGAUCGGCCACACUGGAACUGAGACACGGUCCAGACUCCUACGGGAGGCAGCAGUAGGGAAUCUUCCGCAAUGGGCGAAAGCCUGACGGAGCAACGCCGCGUGAGUGAUGAAGGUCUUCGGAUCGUAAAACUCUGUUAUUAGGGAAGAACAAAUGUGUAAGUAACUGUGCACGUCUUGACGGUACCUAAUCAGAAAGCCACGGCUGACUACGUG